CUUGUWCGACUUCCCCCAAUCAUCUGUCCCACCUUAGGCGGCUGGCUCCAAAAGGUUACCUCACCGACUUCGGGUGUUACAAACUCUCGUGGUGUGACGGGCGGUGUGUACAAGGCCCGGGAACGUAUUCACCGCGGCAUGCUGAUCCGCGAUUACUAGCGAUUCCAGCUUCAUGCAGGCGAGUUGCAGCCUGCAAUCCGAACUGAGAACGGUUUUAUGGGAUUG
Molecule: ribosomal RNA, 225 nt
Filed under: Bacillus sp. GF69
Lineage: Bacteria; Bacillati; Bacillota; Bacilli; Caryophanales; Bacillaceae
Description: partial 16S ribosomal RNA
Source: RNAcentral